GACGAACCGUGCAAACGUUGUUCGGAAUCACUGGGCUUAAAGGGCGCGUAGGCGGGCUCCCAAGUCGGUGGUGAAAUCUUUCGGCCCAACCGGAAAAGUGCCGCCGAUACUGGGAGUCUCGAGGGAGGUAGGGGUCGAGGGAACUCUAGGUGGAGCGGUGAAAUGCGUAGAUAUCAGGAGGAACACCGGUGGCGAAGGCGGGUCUCUGGGCAACUACUGACGCUGAGGAGCGAAAGCGUGGGGAGCGAACAGG
Molecule: ribosomal RNA, 253 nt
Filed under: uncultured bacterium
Lineage: Bacteria
Description: partial 16S ribosomal RNA
Rfam family: Bacterial small subunit ribosomal RNA
Source: RNAcentral